GAUCCGGUGGUUCUGCGUGGAAGGGCCAUCGCUCAACGGAUAAAAGCUACCCUGGGGAUAACAGGCUUAUCUCCCCCAAGAGUCCACAUCGACGGGGAGGUUUGGCACCUCGAUGUCGGCUCAUCACGUCCUGGGGCUGUAGUAGGUCCCAAGGGUUGGGCUGUUCGCCCAUUAAAGUGGUACGCGAGCUGGGUUCAGAACGUCGUGAGACAGUUCGGUCCCUAUCCGUCGCAGGCGUAGGAAAUUUGAGAAGACCUG
Molecule: ribosomal RNA, 258 nt
Filed under: Clostridioides difficile
Lineage: Bacteria; Bacillati; Bacillota; Clostridia; Peptostreptococcales; Peptostreptococcaceae
Description: partial 23S ribosomal RNA
Rfam family: Bacterial large subunit ribosomal RNA
Source: RNAcentral